Molecule: ribosomal RNA, 456 nt
Filed under: uncultured bacterium
Lineage: Bacteria
Description: bacterial SSU rRNA
Rfam family: Bacterial small subunit ribosomal RNA
Source: RNAcentral
AAUCAACGCUGGCGGCGCGCUUAACACAUGCAAGUCGAGCGAGAAAGGGGAGCAAUCCCUGAGUAAAGCGGCGCACGGGUGAGUAACACGUGGGGAAUCUACCUCUGGGUGGGGAAUAACUCUGGGAAACCGGAGCUAAUACCGCAUAAGCCUGGGAAGGGAAAGUCGAAAGACGCCGGGAGAGGACCCCGCGGCCGAUUAGCUAGUUGGUGAGGUAACGGCUCACCAAGGCAAAGAUCGGUAGCCGGCCUGAGAGGGCACACGGCCACACUGGCACUGAAACACGGGCCAGACUCCUACGGGAGGCAGCAGUGGGGAAUCUUGCACAAUGGGGGCAACCCUGAUGCAGCGACGCCGCGUGAGCGAUGAAGCCCUUCGGGCGUAAAGCUCUUUCGGCAGGAACGAUAAUGACGGUACCUGAAGAAGAAGCUGCGGCUAACUACGUGCCAGCAGCCG